Long non-coding RNA from Coccinella septempunctata (seven-spotted ladybird), 727 nucleotides. RefSeq lists it as uncharacterized. NCBI's taxonomy places the organism in Eukaryota, Metazoa, Arthropoda, Insecta, Coleoptera, Coccinellidae. The transcript has 5 exons. The record is from RefSeq and is a predicted model, not a curated record.
GGAAGUGUUGCUUGGACCACAUGAUUGAAAUGGCAGCCUAGUGGGUAUUGAAAUUUGUGGAAACAUCCACACCGAAGGCCAUUGUUCUCUCAAGAAACGGUACAAGGUUCCGUAGUGCGCGAUUUUUUUAUAUGAUUGAGGAGCUUUAUUCAAAAAGUUACCAAUUUUCCUGAGAGAUAUUUCGUUUUCACCUGGGGUUAAAUUAAAGUAAUAAGUUUUAAGUUUUCUUAAAUUUGUUCUGCUUGUUCUUCUGAGGGCCAUUUCAUUCUCGAAAAAUGUUUUUGAAAGAAUUUUUGUAUUUGUAUUGUUUCGUUGGGUGUUUUUUUGCGUAAUGCUUCUCAAUUAAGUGUUAGUUUACCGAUAAAGUGCAAUACUGAGAAAGACUGGCAGCGUUUGGUAGAAAACAUGACGAAUGGCUCAAGGAACGGAGUAAUAGGGUGAGUGUUUAAUGAAGCAGAGUAGCAGAGAUUGAGCCUCUUCUGGAUAUGGUUAUAUAAGAGGACGCCGCAUUCUCCUAUAAUAAUUAAGGUAGGUCAAAUUAUAUUUGCUUCCAAAUUUAGCCAAGAAAUGCAGAAGGAUCUUCAGAUGCUCCAGCUAGAACCUGGUUUCCUCAAAUCGAAUACAAAAAGCUGCUAUACUGAAAAGGUAACAGCAUGCCUGAAGGGCGUUGAGUCAUUUCGAAAACCGAGUAUCCCCAAAUCAGGCGCUUAUAGCUGUCCAUAAAAAG